Molecule: microRNA, 18 nt
Filed under: Ananas comosus (pineapple)
Lineage: Eukaryota; Viridiplantae; Streptophyta; Magnoliopsida; Poales; Bromeliaceae
Description: microRNA s0772_c100a
Source: RNAcentral
GAUGAAGGUACGAUCUAA